ACCCGUGAGACCUAAAAACCCACGCACUCCUUUGACAUUCUUAGGUUCAGGCCACUCCAUGAUACACCUAAUCUUCCCUGGAUCUACUGCUACACCCUCACCAGAAAUGAUAUGACCCAGGUAGUCAAUCUGUUUACAUCCAAAUUUGCACUUUGCCUUAUUAGCAACAAAGCAAUGCAAUUUUAGAAUUGUCAACACUUGCUUCAAGUGCUCUAAGUGUUCAGUUUCAUUCCGACUAUACACAAGAAUGUCAUCAAAGAAUACCAACACAAAGCUUCUAAGAUAGGGUCUAAAAAUAUCAUUCAUAGUGGCUUGGAACGUGGCUGGAGCGUUCAUUAAUCCAAAAGGCAUAACAAGGUAUUCAUAGUGCCCAUUAUGAGUCCUAAAAGCAGUUUUCUCAACAUCAUUUUCAUGGACACGAAUCUGAUGAUAACCAGAUUUUAGAUCUAUCUUAGAAAAAAUUGUUUCCCCAUACAACUCAUCUAGCAACUCAUCGACAAUAGGGAUGGGGUACUUAUCUGGGACAGUAGCUUUGUUCAAAGCUCUAUAGUCGACACACAUACGCCAUGAACCAUCUUUCUUCUUGACUAAGAUUACUGGACUAGAAAAAGCACUCAUGCUUGGUUGAAUCACUCCCGCAAUCAACAACUCUGUCACUUGUUUUUCAAUUUCUUCCUUUUGGUGAUGUGGAUAUCUAUAUGGCCUCACAUUAAUAGGACCAUGCUCUGGGAAUAACUUGAUUUGAUGCACCUGUUUUCUUUCAGGAGGCAGUGUUAUUUUCUCUUGGAACACAUAAAAAAAUUGGCCCAACAGUUUAGUCACUUCCUCAUGCCCAACUUCUGAUGUUGCCUCUACUUCAUCAUGAUUAGUCCACCACCAAUCUUCAUCACCUCUCCUGUGUUUGUCCUCCAAGAAAGAUUGUAAGCACCCUUGUCUCCCUUGGAACCUACCUUGAGAUUGCAGAUUAAUCAUCUUUCCCUCAUAUAAAAACUGCAUAGAAAGAUCCUUCCAGUCCACUACCACUUUCCCUAGAGUACUCAACCAUGAUACCCCUAACACCACAUCCAAACCUCCCAACUCCAGCACUAAAGCAUCAACCACAAAUGUUUGAGAACCCAAACUGAUCCUAACUCCCUCACAUAAUCCUUUAGAAAGAACCUUAUGACCAUCUCCCAAUCUGAUCGUUUUAGCUGCCAUAGGGGUAAUUUGCAACCCUAAAGCAGUAGUUAUUUCUGGGGAUAUGAAGUUAUGGCUAGCUCCACUAUCAAUUAAGACCACCACUUCGAUGCCGGCAAUCUUUCCAUCUAUCUUCAUCGUGUGAAAUUCCCCCAUACUCCCCAUCACUCCAAUAAUUUUGCAUUCAGCUUCUACAUCUUCGUCUUCUUCCUCAGUCUCCACAGUUUCGAUGGAAACAAUCUCACCUUCUUCAUUCACCCCUUCACCUUCUCCCAAAAUGAGGACACGCAUUGAAUGUUCAGGACAUUUGUGAAGAGUGGGAUGAAAUUUUCCUCCACAUUUGAAACACAGUCCCUUAGCUCGCCGUUCUGCCAUUUCAUCAUUUUGAAUACUCCAAACUCCCUUCCACCGUUCUGAAACUAGCAUGCGACGAUCGUUUUCACCUUUCUUUCCUGUCGAACUCAAAGAUGAAGUGGAAAUAAGGUUUGACGCAGUUGAACCCGUUUUCUGCCCCGGGUUGUUCCAACCCGAAUUUGAAAAUCGGGUAGAAUCUGUGUGGGCCUGAUUUGACCCGCUCCGGAAUUUGGACGCUUGCCCACCCCAUUCGUUUUGGCCCAAACGAUAACCCACCGACUUCUUCCCAUAACGUCUUUCACCAUCAUCGUCCUCGUCCUUCAGCUCGUCCUCAACAUCCUUUGCAUACGAUUAUGAGGAUUUAAGGUUCUCACUCUCCUUCGAAUUUGAGCUUUCAACCCACUCAUAAAGUACCCCAGGUACUGCUCCUCAGGGAGUCGUCCCACCUGCGACGAGAAGAGUUCAAACGCUUCGACAAAUUCUUCCACACUCCCUGUUUGUCUCAACGUCGACAAUUCUUCAAAAGGAUUCUCUAACCGCCUCCCACCGUAACGGGCGAUCAACGCUCGUUUCAGUUUCUCCCACGAUAACUCGUCCUCCGUUUCCAUCAAAAGAUUGAACCAGUGAAUGGUUGAACUUUCCAUGCUUAGGCGCGCCAAUUUCACACGCAUCUCCUCCGAUGUGUUUUGAACAUCAAAGUAGAUCUUAGCUCGUGUAAUCCACGCUACUGGGUCCUCUCCUUCAAACAGUGGAAGCUUCACCUUCUUCCCUGCAAGACGAGACUCACUAUGUGAUGAAUCACCCGUAGAGUCCUCCUGCCUCGCUGUCUUCUUCCCCAUCUGUUUGCUUAAUUCUGUCAUGAUCACACUCUGCUGUUGCAUUUGUUGCGCAUGUUGUUGCAUUUGCAAAGCAAGCUCCUGCAGCGUCAUCGUCACGUUUUCAACCUGAGUUUCCAAAGCUUCAAGUCGGUCACCCAUCCUUGUCAUGAACAAUCUCCGUCACAGAGAACGAUUUGAAAUCCGGCAGGUCGGACCAAUUGAUGGGUUAUAUAACAGAUAACAAAAUAACACAGCAAAAGAAUGGACAAUCUGUAAUUAUAUUGAUGGAAGAAAUGACAAAUUACAGAUAAAACAAAGAUAGAAUGUAUUGAUAGUGAUAGCUAUCAACCCAAAGCACUAACGGCUUCCCUCACCUCAAGGUGAUCUCAUUUCUCUCUCCCAAUCCCAAAUUCUCUCCUCUUAUUCUCUCUUCCCUCCGCACACUAAAUACUAACUACUUCACGUGCUCCUCAUCACCCUUUUUGCCAGCUCAUCCUCUUUCAUUCCCUUCCCACGUUUCCUCUUGUAAACUCUCCAAACCUGGGGCUUAUAAUUCUCCUCAAGGCCCACUUCAUUAUUUUUGUUUCUAUCAGAAAGAGAAAGUUGAGUAAUGAGUUCAAAACUGAAUUCAAUGAAUGGGUUGUUACAAUGAGAUACUUAAAACAGAAAAUAGAAGUGCUAACUCCGCUAGUCAAUUGGCCUAUAACUGAAGCCCUAUUAGCAGAAACCACAACUGAAUUUUUCUAUUCACAUAUUAGUAUGCAAAAGCCUG
This 3120-nucleotide long non-coding RNA is filed under the name Glycine max (soybean). RNAcentral describes it as "long non-coding RNA (GMAX_LNC000068)". The record is from RNAcentral. Lineage: Eukaryota; Viridiplantae; Streptophyta; Magnoliopsida; Fabales; Fabaceae.